AUUGAACGCUGGCGGCAUGCCUUACACAUGCAAGUCGAACGGUAACGGGUCCUUCGGGAUGCCGACGAGUGGCGAACGGGUGAGUAAUAUAUCGGAACGUGCCCAGUAGUGGGGGAUAACUGCUCGAAAGAGCAGCUAAUACCGCAUACGACCUGAGGGUGAAAGCGGGGGACCGUAAGGCCUCGCGCGAUUGGAGCGGCCGAUGUCUGAUUAGCUAGUUGGUGGGGUAAAGGCCCACCAAGGCGACGAUCAGUAGCGGGUCUGAGAGGAUGAUCCGCCACACUGGGACUGAAACACGGCCCAGACUCCUACGGGAGGCAGCAGUGGGGAAUUUUGGACAAUGGGGGCAACCCUGAUCCAGCCAUGCCGCGUGCGGGAAGAAGGCCUCGGUUGUAACGCUUCUAGACGAAGAAUACGCAUGGACUAAUACUCUGUGUGGAUGACGGUACCGUAACGAAGAAGACACCGGCUAAC
This 474-nucleotide ribosomal RNA is filed under the name uncultured bacterium. RNAcentral describes it as "bacterial SSU rRNA". It matches the Rfam family "Bacterial small subunit ribosomal RNA", at positions 29 to 501 of the family's 1533-position model. The record is from RNAcentral.